RNAcentral lists this ribosomal RNA (253 nucleotides) under uncultured bacterium. Its description in RNAcentral is "partial 16S ribosomal RNA". It matches the Rfam family "Bacterial small subunit ribosomal RNA", at positions 524 to 776 of the family's 1533-position model. The record is from RNAcentral.
UACGUAGGGUCCGAGCGUUGUCCGGAAUUAUUGGGCGUAAAGAGCUCGUAGGCGGUUUGUCGCGUCUGCUGUGAAAUCCCGAGGCUCAACCUCGGGCCUGCAGUGGGUACGGGCAGACUGGAGUGCGGUAGGGGAGAAUGGAAUUCCUGGUGUAGCGGUGGAAUGCGCAGAUAUCAGGAGGAACACCGAUGGCGAAGGCAGUUCUCUGGGCAUGUACUGACGCUGAGGAGCGAAAGCGUGGGGAGCGAACAGG